This is an unclassified non-coding RNA of Nomascus leucogenys (northern white-cheeked gibbon), 100 nucleotides long. It matches the Rfam family "Y RNA". Rfam says of the family: Y RNAs are components of the Ro ribonucleoprotein particle (Ro RNP), in association with Ro60 and La proteins. The record is from Ensembl. NCBI's taxonomy places the organism in Eukaryota, Metazoa, Chordata, Mammalia, Primates, Hylobatidae.
GGCAGGUCCGAAUGCAGCAGUGUUUACAACUAAUUGAUUACAACCAGUUACAGAUUUUUUUUUCUUCUCUCCUCCCACUGUUUCAUUUGACUAGCUUUAA